This 73-nucleotide transfer RNA is filed under the name Nephila pilipes (giant wood spider). It matches the Rfam family "tRNA". Rfam says of the family: Transfer RNA (tRNA) molecules are approximately 80 nucleotides in length. Their secondary structure includes four short double-helical elements and three loops (D, anti-codon, and T loops). Further hydrogen bonds mediate the characteristic L-shaped molecular structure. tRNAs have two regions of fundamental functional importance: the anti-codon, which is responsible for specific mRNA codon recognition, and the 3' end, to which the tRNAs corresponding amino acid is attached (by aminoacyl-tRNA synthetases). tRNAs cope with the degeneracy of the genetic code in two manners: having more than one tRNA (with a specific anti-codon) for a particular amino acid; and 'wobble' base-pairing, i.e. permitting non-standard base-pairing at the 3rd anti-codon position. The record is from Rfam by way of RNAcentral. Lineage: Eukaryota; Metazoa; Arthropoda; Arachnida; Araneae; Nephilidae.
GCCCUGAUAACUCAGUCGGUAGAGCGUUAGGCUUUUAACCUAACUAUCCAGGGUUCGAGUCCCUGUUCAGGCA